RNAcentral lists this transfer RNA (66 nucleotides) under Ulva fenestrata. RNAcentral's name for it is "tRNA-Trp". The record is from RNAcentral. Lineage: Eukaryota; Viridiplantae; Chlorophyta; Ulvophyceae; Ulvales; Ulvaceae.
CCCUUCGAUUACCCACUUGGAUCCUCCAAAGUCCCGACGUACUUGUCUAAGGCAAGUAUGUUGGGA